AAUUUUUCACAAGGUCCUGCUUACAGGCAUGCUGGUGGUGGUGGAGGUCCAGUCAAUUCCACAGAAUAAGCAGGGUCAGAUCAGGUGGGAAGGCAAGAGCAGAGACCUCCUAGAAGAUCCCUGAGUGCUACAGAAACAGAGCCCUGCUGCAAGUUUCUCCUAGUACAGCAACACAAUAUUUUAUUGAAUUACACCAGAAGGCUUUCCAAGAAGAAGUUUUGUCACUUUCAGUUAGUUUUGCUAAGAAAUAGCAGAGCCUUCAGGUUGCUCACAGCUUCUACUGAGAUGUCAUGGACCCUGUUACACCAAGACAAAAAUUACUAGAGUGUCCUGAAUUUUUGUAAUGUAAAUGCAAAGAAGGGAAGCCUGAAAAGCAGUGCUGUGCUCAAGAUGGGCUGCAGUUUGAUAGGACCAACUACACUUGAAUCAUCUCUCUUAUAAUCAAUUUUUUCCUCAGAGCUCU
This 463-nucleotide long non-coding RNA is filed under the name Anas platyrhynchos platyrhynchos (common mallard). RNAcentral's name for it is "lncRNA (ENSAPLG00000022864.1)". The record is from RNAcentral. Lineage: Eukaryota; Metazoa; Chordata; Aves; Anseriformes; Anatidae.